This 1004-nucleotide ribosomal RNA is filed under the name Cerorhinca monocerata (Rhinoceros auklet). RNAcentral's name for it is "partial 16S ribosomal RNA". It matches the Rfam family "Bacterial large subunit ribosomal RNA", at positions 861 to 2564 of the family's 2925-position model. The record is from RNAcentral. Lineage: Eukaryota; Metazoa; Chordata; Aves; Charadriiformes; Alcidae.
GAAAGGAAUCUCAGUUCCCCCUUGACCUCUCUCCCCGGACACAACUUUAACCUUUAUGUAGAAAGUCAAGAGUAAUUUAAAGGAGGUACAGCUCCUUUAAAAAAGGAUACAACCUUCACUAGCGGCUAUACCACCUAACUUAUCCCCAUUACUGUAGGCCCUCAAGCAGCCACCAAUAAAGAGUGCGUCAAAGCUCUACACAUAAAAUCCAAUAGUAACAUGAUUCCCUUCCCACUAACAGGCCAGCCUAUGCCAAUAGGAGUAUUAAUGCUAAAAUGAGUAACUAGGGAUUCACCCUCCACAAGCGCAAGCUUACAUCCUCAUAUUAUUAACAGAUAACAAACCAAUACCUCAAUUACAACAAGACUAACAUAUUAAACCUACCCUGUUACACCGACCAAGGAGCGCCCGCUAGAAAGAUUAAAAUCUGUAAAAGGAACUAGGCAAACCCAAGGCCCGACUGUUUACCAAAAACAUAGCCUUCAGCCCACCAAGUAUUGAAGGUGAUGCCUGCCCAGUGACGUAACGUUCAACGGCCGCGGUAUCCUAACCGUGCGAAGGUAGCGCAAUCAAUUGUCCCAUAAAUCGAGACUUGUAUGAACGGCUAAACGAGGUCUUAACUGUCUCUUACAGAUAAUCAGUGAAAUUGAUCUUCCUGUGCAAAAGCAGGAAUGCUAACAUAAGACGAGAAGACCCUGUGGAACUUAAAAAUCAGCGGCCACUACACACAAACUCAAACCUACUAGGCCUCCCCCCUCCCAAAUACUGGCCCGCAUUUUUCGGUUGGGGCGACCUUGGAGAAAAACAAAUCCUCCAAAAAUAAGACCACACCUCUUAACCAAGAACAACCCCUCAACGUACUAACAGUAACCAGACCCAAUACAAUUGAUCAAUGGACCAAGCUACCCCAGGGAUAACAGCGCAAUCUCCUCUAAGAGCCCACAUCGACGAGGAGGUUUACGACCUCGAUGUUGGAUCAGGACAUCCUAAUGGUGCAGCCGCUA